AUAAAGUGGCAGUGGUAAUGCAGUACCAUUAUGGACAACUGAUACAUUGCUUGACAUGAAUAUUCUCCAGGAGGUAUACACUGCGAUGGACUGGCGACCUGUCCAGGGUGUCCCCCGCCUUUCGCCCAAUGUUAGCUGGGAUAGGCUCCAGCCCCCCGCGACCCUGUACACAGGAUAAGCGGUUGACGAUGGAUGGAUGGAUGGAUAGGAGCCACAUCGAUGGCAGCCAUGUUGCAGGAGGCAGUGAUGAGGUGGAGGAGACUAAUGCCAGAUUUCAGCAGACACACCACACUGCAAACUCCAAACAGCCACUGCAGCCACACUGUACACAAAGAGACAUCAUG
Xyrauchen texanus (razorback sucker) is the source of this 344-nucleotide long non-coding RNA. RefSeq lists it as uncharacterized. The transcript is spliced from 3 exons. Lineage: Eukaryota; Metazoa; Chordata; Actinopteri; Cypriniformes; Catostomidae. The record is from RefSeq and is a predicted model, not a curated record.